Molecule: ribosomal RNA, 867 nt
Filed under: uncultured archaeon
Lineage: Archaea
Description: bacterial SSU rRNA
Rfam family: Archaeal small subunit ribosomal RNA
Source: RNAcentral
CUGCUAUCGGAUUGAUACUAAGCCAUGCGAGUCAUUGCAGUAAUGCAAGGCAGACGGCUCAGUAACGCGUAGUCAACCUACCCUAUGGACGGGAAUAACCUCGGGAAACUGAGUAUAAUGCCCGAUAGAACACUAUUCCUGGAAUGGUUUGUGUUCCAAAUGAUUUAUCGCCGUAGGAUGGGACUGCGGCCUAUCAGUUUGUUGGUGAGGUGAUGGCCCACCAAGACUAUUACAGGUACGGGCUCUGAGAGGAGUAGCCCGGAGAUGGGUACUGAGACACGGACCCAGGCCCUAUGGGGCGCAGCAGGCGAGAAAACUUUGCAAUGUGCGAAAGCACGACAAGGUUAAUCCGAGUGGUUUGUGCUAAACGAACCUUUUGACAGUCCUAGAAACACUGUUGAAUAAGGGGUGGGCAAGUUCUGGUGUCAGCCGCCGCGGUAAAACCAGCACCUCAAGUGGUCAGGAUGAUUAUUGGGCCUAAAGCAUCCGUAGCCGGCUCUGUAAGUUUUCGGUUAAAUCUGUACGCUCAACGUACAGGCUGCCGGGAAUACUGCAGAGCUAGGGAGUGGGAGAGGUAGACGGUACUCGGUAGGAAGGGGUAAAAUCCUUUGAUCUAUUGAUGACCACCUGUGGCGAAGGCGGUCUACCAGAACACGUCCGACGGUGAGGGAUGAAAGCUGGGGGAGCAAACCGGAUUAGAUACCCGGGUAGUCCCAGCUGUAAACUAUGCAAACUCAGUGAUGCAUUGGCUUGUGGCCAAUGCAGUGCUGCAGGGAAGCCGUUAAGUUUGCCGCCUGGGAAGUACGUACGCAAGUAUGAAACUUAAAGGAAUUGGCGGGGGAGCACCACAAGGGGUGAAGCCUGCGG